Molecule: long non-coding RNA, 4287 nt
Filed under: Podarcis lilfordi (Lilford's wall lizard)
Lineage: Eukaryota; Metazoa; Chordata; Lepidosauria; Squamata; Lacertidae
Source: RNAcentral
GGGUGAAAUGGAGCCCCUGAACACGGCUGGGGAUGGCAAAGGUGGGUUCACCAUUUGCAGACUGCCCUGGGUGCAGAAUUGUUCCAGUAAGCAGAGGCAGAGCUAGCUGUGCACCUGCGGGGGCGGGGCAAGCAUCCCAGGAGGGCGGGGUGGCGAUAUCACACACACACCCAGGAUGACACCCAGGACAGACCGCACCCACCGCAGCCCCCUUCCUCCGCCAGUGGGAGUAGGGAUGUAGAACUCUGCCCCUACAAUGCAUCACUAUCUUUCCCCUCUUAUCACUGAAGCAAAUGUUUCUCUUCUCCUCCCACUUAAUUUGGAGAUUAUGGAACAUAGGGAACCACCUUUCUACCAAGUUACAUCACUUGCCCAUAUAGCUCAUGGGUUAGGGGGCCUGUUAGCCCUCCAGAUAUUGGAGGACUCUCAAUUCUCAUCAGCCCCAGCAAGCAUGGUGAAUGGUUGGGGCAGUAGGAGCUGUCGUCCAGCAUAAUCUGAAGGGCCACUAGUCCCUCCACCCCUGGUAUAGUCAGUGUCAACUCCAGCAUUUUUUAGGGUCCUCAGGGAAGACACUCUCCAAGCCCCACACCUCAGCUGGGAAUCCUGAUUGCAGCAGGGGGGAGCCUUUCUUGGGUGCAGACCCACCAGUGUACCUGAAGGAGCAUCUCCACCCCCAUCGUUCAGCCAAGACCCUGAGACCCAGCGCCAAGGGCCUUCUGGCGGUUCCCUCAUGGUGAGAAGUGAGGUUGCAGGGAACCAGGUAGAGGGCCUUCUCGGUAGUGGCGCCUGCCCUGUGGAACGCCCUCCCAUCAGAUGUCAAUUAAACAAACAACUAGCUGAAUUUUAGAAGACAUCUGAAGGCAGUCCUGUUUAGGGAUGUUUUUAAUGUUUGAUAUUAUUAUUAUUAUUAUUAUUAUUAUUAUUAUUAUUAUUAUUACUCUGCCCAUCAGGCUGGGUUUCCCUAGCCCCUGUGGGCAGCUUCCAACAAAGAUUAAAAAUACAUUAACACAUCAGUCAUUAAAAACUUCCCUAAAGAGGGCUGCCUUCAGAUGUCUUCUAAAUGUCAGGUAUUUGUUUAUCUCUUUUAUCGUGUUUUCAAUAUUCUGUUGGGAGCUGCCCAGAGUGGCAGGGGAAACCCAGCCAGAUGGGUGGGAUAUAAAUAAGUUGUUGUUGUUGUUGUUGUUGUUCCUGCCUUUCAUUCAGGUGACUUGAGAAAGUCAAGAAGAGGAAUCCUAAAUUAAUACUACCUCCUCGAAAUUCCCCAUUGUUUCCUUCUCCUUCCCUUUGCCUGACUAGGCUAUUCAAGCUUUCUGCGAAAAAGGUUGCAUCUUUGUUAACUUCCUUUAGCUGGCUAAACUGUUCCCUCUGCUGACAGAACCAAGGAACAACUGAUCAGCCAAUUGAAAUGGUGUUGACUACAGCUUAAGACUAAUUUGGGUGGGGGCAACAGCAGGUAUUUCAAAGUAAUCUGUCCCAUGACAAAAUGUUCUUUUAAAGAAUGGAGGAACAGAGAGCAAAUACAUCACAUUUGUAUUUAGUGCAAAACAACGGAGAUUUGACCUCUGAAAAGGAAAGUUUCUGUGUUUCAUUUCAUAUUCUGUUUUCUGAAUAUCUGAGGCCCCCUCUGCACCAUACAUUUACAACUGUAUCAUACCAAUGUAAACAGUCAAGCUUCCCCCAAAUAAUCUUGGGUGCCGACCUCGUUGGGAUUUGAACCCUGGUCUCCUGGGUUCUAGUUUGACACUCUAACCACUACACCACACUGACUCUCAAGUGUGCAUAGGAUUGCAGCCUGGCUCAGCAAACCUAUAGACCCCCCAGAGGGUAUUCCAGAGGCCAAUAGAACAUUUUCUCCUUAUCUCCUUGAGAAUUCCGACUUUAGAGAGGGAACUUCAAUGUUGGAUUCCCCUCCCACUAAGAAAUUCAGUUUGAUAGGCAUUUUCAGUAUACAGUAGUACCUCGGGUUAAGAACUUAAUUCAUUCUGGAGGUCAGUUCUUAACCUGAAACUGUUCUUAACCUGAGGUACCAUUUUAGCUAAUGGAGCCUCCCGCUGCUGCCACGCCACUGUCGCACGAUUUCUGUUCUCAUCCUGAAGCAAAGUUCUUAACCCGAGGUACUACUUCCAGGUUAGAGGAGUCUGUAACCUGAAGCAUCUGUAACCCGAGGUACCACUGUACAUUGCUUAGAAGUAGUAAUGCAAACCUAUCUAAUUUGCACAUCCUGUAAGAACAUGGAAGUCAAAAUAUAGCCACCCUUCAAAAUUCUCACUUCUCCUGAAUGUGUGCAGAAAAUGUAUAUAUUAGGGGAAAUUGCUUGUUAAAAUGUGUUUAUUAGGCAAAAAUUGCAUAGAAAAAUGUGUGUUGCUGGGAGAAACUGAUGGAUUUCUGUGAGGACUUGUUUAUUCCAAUGCAGACUGUUGUGGAAAGGAUGUGACAUUGAAAUUAAAAUGAGAAAGAUGAAAAACAGAAACAGAAACAGAUGGAUUCAUCCAUCCCUACACGCCUACUCCUGUUUCAACAGAAUCAUCAGUGGUCCUUCUCAAUGACAUCAGAGCUCCAAUUUCACCAGCAUCAAAAAGCACAUGUUCUGUGAGUGAAUUAGGGGUGUGCAAAGAAUGCAAAGGAUGCAACGCCUUCCCAGUAUCAUGACAAACCCUCAAACUGGAGAUUAAACCACAGUAGCCUUUGAAAUGGCACCCUUUAAUUCCAUCCCAUUGUUUCCAACGGGAGGGGAGAAGAAGCAGGAGAUGAAAAGGAAGAAGAGGAAGAAGGCCGAACCCAGGAAAAGAUGGAAGAGUGCAAGCCACAGUCAAUGAGAGUCCAAAAGGGCAUUGGAUGAGAUGGAAGAGCCAACUUUGGUUCCCACAUUCCUCAGUCCUGAAUCCUGAAAGAGCUCAGGGUCACUUGCCCCUUCCACCAAAAGCAAUGCUAGCCAAUAUUUCCAAAGCAUGUCCUUUAAUGUGCCCCAUAGUGUAGCUUCUGGUUGCUGCGAGGCUAUUAAAUGUUGGCAAUUGGAAAUGACAGCACACCAGAACCACCAAGUAUGGUCCCAAGUCCUAAAGUGGCCUGCUUCUUUAGUUUCCAGGUGUAGCUGCUAUACCAAUCUGAUUUCAGGGGACUGGAACUGAUAUCAUUGGUACAGUUAGGUCAUUUUAGAGCUGCAUUUUUGCGGGGUGGGGAGGGCUUUUUAGAAGGUAUUACUUCAACUCACAUCAAAACUUGAUAAGCCAGCCCUGCUGUGUUUUGGGAGACCUCUUGCUCACCCUGAGUGGGACCCUGGUAGGGAUGGGGGAGGAAUUCGAUUGAAUUUGGAUUUCAACCUGAGCCUACCUGGGUUGGACUUUCAAAAACAAUAUGCAAACUGAAACACAGCUGAGAGCCAGUGUGGUGUAGUGGUUAAGAGUGGUAGUCUUGUAAUCUGGGGAACCGGGUUCGCGUCUCUGCUCCUCCACAUGCAGCUGCUGGGUGACCUUGGGCUAGUCACACUUCUCUGAAGUCUCACAGCCCCACUCACCUCACAGAGUGUUUGUUGUAGGGAAGGAAGGGAAAGGAGAAUGUUAGCCGCUUAAAGGGAGUGAAAGGCAGGAUAUCAAAUCCAAACUCUUCUUCUUCUUCCUUUAAUAGCUCUGAGAUUUUGUGAAGCCAUCCUCCUGUCAAAUAAUGCAUGCAUGCAUUCAAAGGUGUUUAUUGGGGGAAAGUGUGCCAAAAAGAUUAUGCAAUAUCCAUUGUUGGAAAUGACAUACAUCGUGGUACAUGAAGUCAACUAUCCAUUGUCCUUGGAUAGAGACGGGGGCGAAAUAUAAUUCAGUUUGCAUUUAAAGGUGAACCUCCCUAAUUCACACUUUUCCAAACCAUUCACAAACAAAACCACAGCUACUCAUUGAAAUCUGCCCUUCUCUGAAUUUUGCAGAGCAGUUCUCCAGCCAAGUGAUGGAUACAACAAUGCAUGUGUUAGGGUAAAUUGUGCAUAUAAAUGCAUAUAUUUGUGAAAAUGGCAUGGAAAGAGGCUUUAUGUUAGGAGAAAUGGCUUGCCCAAAUGUGUACACAAGGCAAAAAUUGCAUACAAAAACGUGUAUAUUAGGAGAAAAUUGCACUAAAAUACCUACAAGCUUUGUUGAGGACUUUUUAUUUAAAUAGAAAUAAAAAUGGCAGAGCGGUGCAGAAAUGUGGAGAACUCAACUUAAGGGUGGGGAGGGAUGAGAAACCAUGAAAAAUAGACUGAUCUGUCCAUUCUUAGACAUGUGCCCUGAAAUCCCACCCUAAUGGCACCACUGCCCAGAAUAGCGG